RNAcentral lists this ribosomal RNA (468 nucleotides) under uncultured bacterium. Its description in RNAcentral is "partial 16S ribosomal RNA". It matches the Rfam family "Bacterial small subunit ribosomal RNA", at positions 28 to 507 of the family's 1533-position model. The record is from RNAcentral.
GACGAACGCUGGCGGCGUGCUUAACACAUGCAAGUCGAACGGAAAGGCCCUGCUUUUGUGGGGUGCUCGAGUGGCGAACGGGUGAGUAACACGUGAGUAACCUGCCCUUGACUUUGGGAUAACUUCAGGAAACUGGGGCUAAUACCGGAUAGGAGCUCCUGCUGCUUGGUGGGGGUUGGAAAGUUUCGGCGGUUGGGGAUGGACUCGCGGCUUAUCAGCUUGUUGGUGGGGUAGUGGCUUACCAAGGCUUUGACGGGUAGCCGGCCUGAGAGGGUGACCGGCCACAUUGGGACUGAGAUGCGGCCCAGACUCCUACGGGAGGCAGAAGUGGGGAAUAUUGCACAAUGGGCGGAAGCCUGAUGCAGCAACGCCGCGUGCGGGAUGACGGCCUUCGGGUUGUAAACCGCUUUCGCCUGUGACGAAGCGUGAGUGACGGUAAUGGGUAAAGAAGCACCGGCUAACUACGUG